CGCCAAAUAGCCACUAGCAUAUGGCUGGUAUAGUCGCUUCUUAGAGGGACUAUCGCUUUCACGUCGAUGGAAGUUUGACGCAAUCACAGGUCUGUGAUGCCCUUAUAUGUUCUGGGCCGCACGCGCGCUACACUGACAGACCCAGCGAGUUUAUACCUUGGCCGAGAGGUCCGGGAAAUCUUGUGAAACUCCGUCGUGCUGGGGAUAGAGCAUUGUAAUUAUUGCUCUUCAACGAGGAAUUCCUAGUAAGCGCAAGUCAUCAGCUUGCGUUGAUUACGUCCCUGCCCUUUGUACACACCCCCCGUCGCUACUACCGAUUGAAUGGAUAAGAAAA
RNAcentral lists this ribosomal RNA (334 nucleotides) under fungal sp. RNAcentral describes it as "SSU rRNA". It matches the Rfam family "Eukaryotic small subunit ribosomal RNA", at positions 1349 to 1705 of the family's 1831-position model. Lineage: Eukaryota; Fungi. The record is from RNAcentral.